UUUUUAUGGAGAGUUUGAUCCUGGCUCAGAGUGAACGCUGGCGGCGUGCCUAAUACAUGCAAGUCGAACGAUGAAGCUUCUAGCUUGCUAGAAGUGGAUUAGUGGCGCACGGGUGAGUAAUGCAUAGGUUAUGUGCCCUUUAGUCUGGGAUAGCCACUGGAAACGGUGAUUAAUACUAGAUACUCCCUACGGGGGAAAGUUUUUCGCUAAAGGAUCAGCCUAUGUCCUAUCAGCUUGUUGGUGAGGUAAUGGCUCACCAAGGCUAUGACGGGUAUCCGGCCUGAGAGGGUGAUCGGACACACUGGAACUGAGACACGGUCCAGACUCCUACGGGAGGCAGCAGUAGGGAAUAUUGCUCAAUGGGGGAAACCCUGAAGCAGCAACGCCGCGUGGAGGAUGAAGGUUUUCGGAUUGUAAACUCCUUUUGUUAGAGAAGAUUAUGACGGUAUCUAACGAAUAAGCACCGGCUAACUCCGUGCCAGCAGCCGCGGUAAUACGGAGGGUGCAAGCGUUACUCGGAAUCACUGGGCGUAAAGAGCGCGUAGGCGGGGUAGCAAGUCAGAUGUGAAAUCCUAUGGCUUAACCAUAGAACUGCAUUUGAAACUGUUACUCUAGAGUAUGGGAGAGGUAGGUGGAAUUCUUGGUGUAGGGGUAAAAUCCGUAGAGAUCAAGAGGAAUACUCAUUGCGAAGGCGACCUGCUGGAACAUUACUGACGCUGAUGCGCGAAAGCGUGGGGAGCAAACAGGAUUAGAUACCCUGGUAGUCCACGCCCUAAACGAUGAAUGCUAGUUGUUGUGAGGCUUGUCCUUGCAGUAAUGCAGCUAACGCAUUAAGCAUUCCGCCUGGGGAGUACGGUCGCAAGAUUAAAACUUAAAGGAAUAGACGGGGACCCGCACAAGCGGUGGAGCAUGUGGUUUAAUUCGAGGAUACGCGAAGAACCUUACCUAGGCUUGACAUUGAUAGAAUCUACUAGAGAUAGUGGAGUGCCCUUUUAGGGAGCUUGAAAACAGGUGCUGCACGGCUGUCGUCAGCUCGUGUCGUGAGAUGUUGGGUUAAGUCCCGCAACGAGCGCAACCCUCGUCCUUAGUUGCUAACAGUUUGGCUGAGCACUCUAAGGAGACUGCCUUCGUAAGGAGGAGGAAGGUGAGGACGACGUCAAGUCAUCAUGGCCCUUACGCCUAGGGCUACACACGUGCUACAAUGGGGUGCACAAAGAGAUGCAAUACUGUGAAGUGGAGCCAAUCUCUAAAACAUCUCUCAGUUCGGAUUGUAGUCUGCAACUCGACUACAUGAAGCUGGAAUCGCUAGUAAUCGUGAAUCAGCCAUGUCACGGUGAAUACGUUCCCGGGUCUUGUACUCACCGCCCGUCACACCAUGGGAGUUGUAUUCGCCUUAAGUCGGAAUACUAAACUAGUUACCGCCCACGGCGGAUGCAGCGACUGGGGUGAAGUCGUAACAAGGUAACCGUAGGUGAACCUGCGGUUGGAUCACCUCCUUUCAAGAGACAU
RNAcentral lists this ribosomal RNA (1509 nucleotides) under Helicobacter sp. 11-8110. RNAcentral's name for it is "bacterial SSU rRNA". It matches the Rfam family "Bacterial small subunit ribosomal RNA". The record is from RNAcentral. Lineage: Bacteria; Pseudomonadati; Campylobacterota; Epsilonproteobacteria; Campylobacterales; Helicobacteraceae.